This 468-nucleotide ribosomal RNA is filed under the name uncultured bacterium. RNAcentral's name for it is "partial 16S ribosomal RNA". It matches the Rfam family "Bacterial small subunit ribosomal RNA", at positions 28 to 507 of the family's 1533-position model. The record is from RNAcentral.
GACGAACGCUGGCGGCGUGCUUAACACAUGCAAGUCGAACGGAAAGGCCCUGCUUUUGUGGGGUGCUCGAGUGGCGAACGGGUGAGUAACACGUGAGUCACCUGCCCUUUACUUUGGGAUAACUUCAGGAAACUGGGGCUAAUACCGAAUACGAGCUCCUGCUGCAUGGUGGGGGUUGGAAAGUUUCGGCGGUUGGGGAUGGACUGGCGGGUUAUCAGCUUGUUGGUGGGGUAGUGGCUUACCAAGGCUUUGACGGGUAGCCGGCCUGAGAGGGUGACCGGCCACAUUGGGACUGAGAUACGGCCCAGACUCCUACGGGAGGCAGCAGUGGGGAAUAUUGCACAAUGGGCGGAAGCCUGAUGCAGAAACGCCGCGUGCGGGAUGACGGCCUUCGGGUUGUAAACCGCUUUCGCCUGUGACGAAGCGUGAGUGACGGUAAUGGGUGAAGAAGCACCGGCUAACUACGUG